RNAcentral lists this unclassified non-coding RNA (231 nucleotides) under plant metagenome. Its description in RNAcentral is "partial contains small subunit ribosomal RNA, internal transcribed spacer 1, and 5.8S ribosomal RNA". The record is from RNAcentral.
UCUCCGUUGGUGAACCAGCGGAGGGAUCAUUACAGAGUUGCAAAACUCCCAAACCAUUGUGAACGUUACCUAUCCCGUUGCUUCGGCGGGCGGCCCGGGCCCCGCGCCCGGCGCCCCCCGGCCCCCCGUGGGCGCCCGCCGGAGGUAAACCAAACCCUUGAAUUGCAUGGCCUCUCUGAGUCUUCUGUACUGAAUAGGUCAAAACUUUCAACAACGGAUCUCUUGGCUCUG